This is a small nucleolar RNA of Macadamia integrifolia, 106 nucleotides long. The record is from RefSeq and is a predicted model, not a curated record. Lineage: Eukaryota; Viridiplantae; Streptophyta; Magnoliopsida; Proteales; Proteaceae.
AUUUUGUGAUGAGGGCAUUUCUAAAUGAGGUCCUUAAAUCUCUUCAUAAAUUUGGAGAACAACUCACUAGGUUUUUGCCUGAAUUGAAAAUGUCACUCCUAAGUUU